This 1347-nucleotide long non-coding RNA is filed under the name Phascolarctos cinereus (koala). Its description in RNAcentral is "lncRNA (ENSPCIG00000015329.2)". The record is from RNAcentral. Lineage: Eukaryota; Metazoa; Chordata; Mammalia; Diprotodontia; Phascolarctidae.
UCUGGAGGCAGCUAGGCAGUCAAAGACACUGGAACAGACCAGAGAGAAAAACACAAGCAGAUCCAGGGAUACAGAGACACCCGCCUGGAGAAGCGCACUUAAAGCCUAUGCAAGUUAAACGAGAGCUCUCACAAGAAGGGAUAUUGAGAAAGGCAAAGAUACCUGAAACUAGAGCAGCUGAAGAUAUGAGAAAAACUGAAGAUAGAGGAUCACCUGAAAGUAGAUGUCCAGAGGCAAACAAGCAAAAAGAACAAAUGACCUUGAAGCAUCCAAGAAAAUGGGAUGACCAAGGAGAUGAGACAACUCAGGAACAGGUUAAAGAUCAGAGAAGAGCAACUAAGAUGUGAAAUAAGAAAAGGAGGAGAGCAAAUCUCUAAAACAGCAGCUAAACAUUAAGAAAAGUGGAGGAGAGGGGCACUGCAGGAGAAAUGGAGGCCAAUGAAGAAAGAAGCACCAGAGAUCUGGGAAACUGGAGAUGCAGGAGAAGCUGGCCUGAAAGACUCAGCUGAGGUGCUGAGAACAACCACUACUUAAGGAGGAACAAAAGACAUGGGCUUGACUGAGGCAUAGCUGAGGAACUGUGAACAUCAGAGGAGAGAAAAAAAAUUUCUUUUGGAUUGGGUCUCCCUAUCUAACCCAGGUGGUAAAUGAAGUGGCACUCACAAGCCUGACCCCACUAAUGACUGACCUAUUGAACUGCUCCAUUUUUUAGCCAGGUAGGCCCCUAUUCCAGGGGGCUCACCAUAUUGGUGCUGGACUUAGUGAGGACACCCGAUAAGCCUUAGCUCACUGCAGUUCAGUACUUCUGACCUCAAUGGUUCUACCAGCAUCAGCCUCCCUAGUAACAGGGGUAAUAGGUGUGCACAACUACACCCAGUCCAGAGAGCAGCUUCUAAAGAAUGGGCAGAAGACAUUAAAUUUUGGAGAUGGGAACAGAAGAGUUGAGCUAUGAAAACAGAGAAGGGUAGUUAAAAAGAAACAUUGAGGAGAUUGAAAACAGAAGAUAAGGACAGUUAUAAAUGACAGAAAAGAGCUGAAAAGACUGUAGCAGGGAUGAUAGAACUGUCUAUGUCAGAAAUGAAAGAGCAGCCCAGGAAAAAGGAGAAGCAGAGAAGACUGGAGAUGAUAGCUGUGUGGACCUAAUUUCUCUGAGGAGAAAGAAGCAAAGGAUACUGUUGCGGGGAGAUGCUGAAGUCAUGAAAAGAGAGGAGAGGAGAAUGGAUGAAGGAGAAGGGAGCAGCUAGGGAUAACAGAGAAACAGAAAACUGGAGAAAUGAAACAAAUCACUAAAAAGUUGUGAACAAUACAGAGGAAGAAAAAGGAGAAGCAGAAGAGACUGAGAUAACU